Daphnia magna is the source of this 394-nucleotide long non-coding RNA. RefSeq lists it as uncharacterized. The transcript is spliced from 3 exons. The record is from RefSeq and is a predicted model, not a curated record. NCBI's taxonomy places the organism in Eukaryota, Metazoa, Arthropoda, Branchiopoda, Diplostraca, Daphniidae.
AAACCAAUGGUUUGAUUGCAGCAGCUUUUUAUGGUAUUAUGCUGCUACUGGCUGUCGUGUCACUGAUGGCUGGGUGGACCAUGGGUGUGCCGAUGGAUUCGUCUUCUUCCGAGUACGGUAGUUAUUCAUACCAGACGACUACUGCUGCGCCGUACUACACCACUGCUGCGCCGUACUACACCACGACGUAUGCUGCCCCCAGUUAUUACACUACAAAGGCGUCCGAGUACUACCCCACAACAUAUGCGUUUGCCAGUCUUUUCCCAUUUCACACGGUGUGGGUGAGGCCCAAGUCAACCUAAAAGAACAAGCGAACAGACGUGUGACCAGUUGACCAACACCAGUUGCUGUUUCAGACGAUGGGGUGUGUGAUGCAGGUUCAAGUGUAGGGAAC